Molecule: ribosomal RNA, 487 nt
Filed under: uncultured bacterium
Lineage: Bacteria
Description: partial 16S ribosomal RNA
Rfam family: Bacterial small subunit ribosomal RNA
Source: RNAcentral
CGAACGCUGGCGGCGUGCUUAACACAUGCAAGUCGCACGGUGAAGGGACCAGCUUGCUGGUUCUGGAUGAGUGGCGAACGGGUGAGUAACACGUGAGUAACCUGCCCCCUUCUUCUGGAUAACCGCAUGAAAGUGUGGCUAAUACGGGAUAUUCUGGGUCUGUCGCAUGGCGGGCCCGGGAAAGAUAUUGCUUCGGUGGGGGAUGGGCUCGCGGCCUAUCAGCUUGUUGGUGGGGUGAUGGCCUACCAAGGCGGUGACGGGUAGCCGGCCUGAGAGGGUGGACGGUCACACUGGGACUGAGACACGGCCCAGACUCCUACGGGAGGCAGCAGUGGGGAAUAUUGCACAAUGGGCGCAAGCCUGAUGCAGCGACGCCGCGUGAGGGAUGGAGGCCUUCGGGGUGUAAACCUCUUUCGCCAGUGAAGCAGGCCUGCUCCGUGUGGGUGGGUUGACGGUAGCUGGAGAAGAAGCGCCGGCUAACUACGUG